Molecule: ribosomal RNA, 159 nt
Filed under: Omphalotus subilludens
Lineage: Eukaryota; Fungi; Basidiomycota; Agaricomycetes; Agaricales; Omphalotaceae
Description: 5.8S ribosomal RNA
Rfam family: 5.8S ribosomal RNA
About the family: 5.8S ribosomal RNA (5.8S rRNA) is a component of the large subunit of the eukaryotic ribosome. It is transcribed by RNA polymerase I as part of the 45S precursor that also contains 18S and 28S rRNA.
Source: RNAcentral
ACAACUUUCAGCAACGGAUCUCUUGGCUCUCGCAUCGAUGAAGAACGCAGCGAAAUGCGAUAAGUAAUGUGAAUUGCAGAAUUCAGUGAAUAAUCGAAUCUUUGAACGCACCUUGCGCCCCUUGGUAUUCCGAGGGGCAUGCCUGUUUGAGUGUCAUUA